AUUACCCUGCUGUGUUCGUGUAUUUAAAAGGCGAUUCUUUGUUCCAACACCUCUUAUGAGGGAGCUUAGCUUGGGAGAAGGCGUGCAAGCCUGGAAGUAACAGGAAGCGCAAAUUCUUCAAAAGGGCACCCACGUAGAUAUCUUUCGGUAUCAAAGAGGUCUUUUAUCCGGCACGGCGGGGUAUUC
RNAcentral lists this non-coding RNA (186 nucleotides) under Candidatus Theseobacter exili. Its description in RNAcentral is "6S RNA". It matches the Rfam family "6S / SsrS RNA". From Rfam's summary of the family: E. coli 6S RNA was the first non coding RNA to be sequenced, but its function was unknown until recently. Lineage: Bacteria; Pseudomonadati; Candidatus Auribacterota; Candidatus Auribacteria; Candidatus Theseobacterales; Candidatus Theseobacteraceae. The record is from RNAcentral.